This 649-nucleotide ribosomal RNA is filed under the name Corynebacterium glutamicum. RNAcentral's name for it is "bacterial SSU rRNA". It matches the Rfam family "Bacterial small subunit ribosomal RNA", at positions 61 to 719 of the family's 1533-position model. The record is from RNAcentral. Lineage: Bacteria; Bacillati; Actinomycetota; Actinomycetes; Mycobacteriales; Corynebacteriaceae.
GUCGAACGCUGAACCAGAUGCUUGCAUUUGGUGGAUGAGUGGCGAACGGGUGAGUAACACGUGGGUGAUCUGCCCUACACUUUGGGAUAAGCCUGGGAAACUGGGUCUAAUACCGAAUAUUCACAUCAUCGUAGGGGUGGUGUGGAAAGCCUUGUGCGGUGUGGGAUGAGCCUGCGGCCUAUCAGCUUGUUGGUGGGGUAAUGGCCUACCAAGGCGUCGACGGGUAGCCGGCCUGAGAGGGUGUACGGCCACAUUGGGACUGAGACACGGCCCAGACUCCUACGGGAGGCAGCAGUGGGGAAUAUUGCACAAUGGGCGCAAGCCUGAUGCAGCGACGCCGCGUGGGGGAUGACGGCCUUCGGGUUGUAAACUCCUUUCGCUAGGGACGAAGCCUAUGGUGACGGUACCUGGAGAAAAAGCACCGGCUAACUACGUGCCAGCAGCCGCGGUAAUACGUAGGGUGCGAGCGUUGUCCGGAAUUACUGGGCGUAAAGAGCUCGUAGGUGGUUUGUCGCGUCGUCUGUGAAAUCCCGGGGCUUAACUUCGGGCGUGCAGGCGAUACGGGCAUAACUUGAGUGCUGUAGGGGAGACUGGAAUUCCUGGUGUAGCGGUGAAAUGCGCAGAUAUCAGGAGGAACACCAAUGGCGAA